This 282-nucleotide ribosomal RNA is filed under the name uncultured bacterium. RNAcentral describes it as "partial 16S ribosomal RNA". It matches the Rfam family "Bacterial small subunit ribosomal RNA", at positions 773 to 1060 of the family's 1533-position model. The record is from RNAcentral.
GUGGAUUAGAUACCCGGGUAGUCCACGCCGUAAACGAUGCUCACUCGCUGUUUGCGAUACACAGCAAGCGGCCAAGCGAAAGCAUUAAGUGAGCCACCUGGGGAGUACGAUCGCAAGGUUGAAACUCAAAGGAAUUGACGGGGGCCCGCACAAGCGGAGGAACAUGUGGUUUAAUUCGAUGAUACGCGAGGAACCUUACCUGGGCUUAAAUGUAGUUCGACAGAUUGUGAAAGCAGUCCUUCUUCGGACGAAUUACAAGGUGCUGCAUGGUCGUCGACAGCU